Molecule: long non-coding RNA, 711 nt
Filed under: Marmota monax (woodchuck)
Lineage: Eukaryota; Metazoa; Chordata; Mammalia; Rodentia; Sciuridae
Source: RNAcentral
AUUUAGUUUAGUUCCUCUAUUCUGGACAUUGAAAGGGAUAAUAUUUACAUCCUUGGGGAGAGAAGUCAGUGUUCAAGAGGUGACAGGAGCAUUGUUUUUAGUAAUAAGAAAUAUUUAAAGCAUCUUUCAAAGAGAAAGAAUUUUACCUUCACAGAAUUUUUUUCCAUAUAAGACCAAACAAUGGUUCUAUAUCAGUAACUUUUAGAACUGAGAGGAAAAAAGUAAAUGGUAUUAUGGCUAGCCUGUGAACCAAGUAGGUCUUACAAUCUUGUAAACAUUAACUUUUGUGUUGAGAGAAAUAAAAAAUAACAGUAUUCCAGAAGCACCUGACACAAAUUCCAGAAUUAACCAAAGAAUUGUUUAUUUCAAAAAUUGGAAGUCAAUUUACAAAUAUAUUCUUCAGCAAUGGGGAAUUUCUCUAGAUAUAUUUAUGUCAGAUGAAUUUGUACUUAUAUACAGCCUUCCUUUCCAAAAUAAAUGUUUUGUAAGAAACUAACGGCUGAAAGACAACUAAUUUCUUCAAAUAUAUUUUGAAGUUCUCCUAGAGAGCUGUGUUUGUAAUCACUUUAACAAUUUUUAAAACAGUUUCACAUUGUUGAAGUUAGAAUAAAGUUUCCAUUUCUUCUUAAUAUUAGUGUGAGACUUUAUAGGUUCUUUUGGUAUUUAAUAUUGAAUAAAAUGAAUAUUAAACUUAAAUUACUUACAUACCUG